RNAcentral lists this ribosomal RNA (429 nucleotides) under Bacillota bacterium. Its description in RNAcentral is "Firmicutes bacterium partial 16S ribosomal RNA". It matches the Rfam family "Bacterial small subunit ribosomal RNA", at positions 355 to 776 of the family's 1533-position model. Lineage: Bacteria; Bacillati; Bacillota. The record is from RNAcentral.
UAGGGAAUCUUCCACAAUGGACGCAAGUCUGAUGGAGCAACGCCGCGUGAGUGAAGAAGGUUUUCGGAUCGUAAAGCUCUGUUGUUGGUGAAGAAGGAUAGAGGCAGUAACUGGUCUUUAUUUGACGGUAAUCAACCAGAAAGUCACGGCUAACUACGUGCCAGCAGCCGCGGUAAUACGUAGGUGGCAAGCGUUGUCCGGAUUUAUUGGGCGUAAAGCGAGCGCAGGCGGAAUGAUAAGUCUGAUGUGAAAGCCCACGGCUCAACCGUGGAACUGCAUCGGAAACUGUCAUUCUUGAGUGCAGAAGAGGAGAGUGGAAUUCCAUGUGUAGCGGUGGAAUGCGUAGAUAUAUGGAAGAACACCAGUGGCGAAGGCGGCUCUCUGGUCUGCAACUGACGCUGAUGCUCGAAAGCAUGGGUAGCGAACAGG